Molecule: small nucleolar RNA, 138 nt
Filed under: Ornithorhynchus anatinus (platypus)
Lineage: Eukaryota; Metazoa; Chordata; Mammalia; Monotremata; Ornithorhynchidae
Source: RNAcentral
GGCCUCCCAGGGUCACACCUGGAGAGUUUCCGCUACUCUACCAGUCUCGGCUGUGGGAGGGAGAGGCAAACAGAGGCCUUCCCAUUCCAUCCCUAGCUUGGCCAGUGGCUAGCGAGUGGAAGGCAAUCUGCUACAAGU